CCACAACGAAAUAAUGGACACCGUUAUUGAGGCCAUUCAAAGACGAUUUCUGACACAUGGCAGUUUAUAUGCAGACUUAUCAUUUCUGGGCCCCAGACACUUUCCAGAUAUCAAAAUUAGUGGUGUUCCUGAUUCUGCACUCCAAGAUCUGAGCAGGUGCCUGAUUAAAUUUGACAGUUCCGCAACAGUUAACAAUCUGCAGGCAGAACUGCAAAGCUUGGCAACCCAGUGGGAAAUGCUGAAACGAUCACCACUGGAAGCAUAUGCAUCCAGGACUGUGGAGGAAGGACCUGAUGAAAACAAGGAGGAGAUGACAAUUAUCAACAAAAGCUGUGCCUCUUGCAAGAACUGCCCACUGUGUUGUUACCAAAUUCUCCUUCGAUUCAACUUGCUCACAGAUGCAUAUCAUCAUGUAGCUCUUGCAUACAAAUAUUUACUCACCCUCUCAGUGACACAAGUCGCUUGUGAACGGUCAUUUUCUACCCUUAAAUUCAUCAAGAGCAGACUGAGGAACAGCAUGAAUGCAAGUAAGUUAGAGGCCUUCAUGUUGAUGUCCUCAGAAAAGGACAUCCUCAUGGGUCUCGAGACAGACACCGUCAUUGACAGAGUUGCAGAAAAAAGUGAACUACUUCGGAAACUCCCACUAUACUGAGGUCUCGUCUCGUCUCAUCUCAUCUCAUUAUCUCUAGCCGCUUUAUCCUUCUACAGCAUUGGCGGUUUUAAGCGGGGGCCAGGGGGGGCCAGUGCCCCUGUAAAAUUGCUCCUGGCCCCUGUUGUGGCCCCUGUGCUGAACAGAUAAUAAGCUUUAUUAAUUUCGACGUGCGCUGGCUCGAAGAUCGGAACUGACAUGACGGAGUGUUCUACACGGACUCCUUAAAGCGCUACACGCACACUGUUACCUGCAGCAGAAAGACCAGCAGCAGCGCGAAUUGUAAACUUUGGACGUGAGAGAUAACAGCAGCUGCAGCCCUGCAAGAACUAGGCUAUUGCAAAGAGGCGAAGCAAAAAGCAACAUAGAGAGAGUAAGGAAGAUGAAGAUUAUGAAAGAGGAGAGAGAGCCAGAGGUGGAGAGAGAGCCAGAGGUGGUGGUUGGAGAGGUGGAAAGUGAGGCAUCUGAAAGGCAAUCUGAGAGUGAGGAUGAAGACAUUCAGGAUCAGAUUGAGGGACAGAAUGAGGGACAACCCAACGAGUCAUUGGGACAACCAGAUUCACCAUGCAUAUCAAGUACAGCACCAUCAGAUAUCAGCAAGUGCUUGGACGACACUCCAGUGCAGCCACAUCUGAAGAAAAGGUUCAUUGUAGGCAAAAAUAGAAAUCUUAUUUUACAAAAAAGAGAAACAUGGUUUUAAGAUUUAUUGAGCACAAUUUAUUUUAUGUUUAGGCUAUUGAGACAGAAUGUUUAUCUCAUUGUAUUUAUGCUCAAUGUAUUUUAGUUUAGUUUUAAAUAAACUAAACUAAACAUUUUGAACGCUUAAAUAUUGCCAUGUUUUGUCCAUAUGUGCCCCCCUGAAAAAACACUGGCCCCACCUCGGCCCCCCUAGUAAUUUUGGUCUAGAACCGCCACUGUUCUACAGGGUCGCAGGCAAGCUGGAGCCUAUCCCAGCUGACUAUGGGCGAAAGGCGGGGUACACCCUGGACAAGUCGCCAGGUCAUCACAGGGCUGACACAUAGACACAGACAACCAUUCACACCUACGGUCAAUUUAGAGUCACCAGUUAACCUAACCUGCAUGUCUUUGGACUGUGGGGGAAACCGGAGCACCCAGAGGAAACCCACGCGGACACGGGGAGAACAUGCAAACUCCGCACAGAAAGGCCCUCGCCGGCCACGGGGCUCGAACCCAGGACCUUCUUGCUGUGAGGCGACAGCGCUAACCACUACACCACCGUGCCGCCCCCUAUACUGAGGAAGCCCCUGUCUCUCAGGUUUUGUUGACUGUUCGUUGUCACAAAGUUCCAUUUCAGGAUACUCAUUCACCAUUGUUCACAAGAUUGACAGGCAUUUGGGUUCUGGGAUGCCAUUUGAGAGGAUUUUGUCAUAGAUAUUCAGGGGUCACAAGUCAUGAUUCAGCAAGGUCUUCUGGCAUACAUAGAUGUUCAUAGGAUCGUCAGGGUAUGAGAGCGUUUGUUCAAGUCAAGUGAGCUAUCUACCAGGUGGGAUGAUUACGAGAGUGACUGUGUCAGUGUGUAGGUGUGUCCAAGUAGCAGAUUGGACUGAAGACUGCAGAUAAGAGGUCAGCAGCUAAAGGUUAAAAAUGAGGAAAGCAAAGAGGAGGAAGCUUACAGAUUUCUUCAAAAGAUUUGCCUUCAUGGAGACCCCAUCACUCAAGACAUGAGCUGCAAAAGGACUGAAUUCCACCACUGCAAACUCAUUCGACGGCAUUUAUGAUAGUGUUGAUACACAUUCCCUGGUGUGCAGGUACUGUAUGGUGAAGGGGCUCUGCACACUCAUACUGAGCACAGAGACACAGCAGGGCUGGUGGAGAUUUCAGCUAUUGGUAUGACAUGUGGAGUCGAGCAGCUCGGACCCAGGACCAUCGUAGAACAAGAGGUAAAUGAGCUGAUCGAAUGGACCAAUGCACUCAACUUUGAUAAGUAAUUAACCUAUGAUUUUAUACACUGGUAAAAUGCAGAUAUAUACACUCACUGGCCACUUUAACAGGAACUUCUUGUUGAUUCUAAGAUUCCUGUUCUUGGCUGCAGAAGUGGAACCUAAUGUGAUCUUCUGCUGUUGCAUGCUGAGAUGCUUUUCUUCUCACCAUGGUUGUAAAGAGUGAUUAUAUAAAUUGCUAUGAGUUCCUUCCUGGCAGCUUGAACCAAUCUGGCCAUUUUCCUCUGACCUCUCUAAUCAACAAGGUGUUUGUUUCCACCCACAGAACUAUCGCUCACUCGAUGUUUUUUUGUUUUUCGCACCAUUCUGUGUAAACUCUAGAGACCCCAGGAAGGAGAUCAGUAGUUUCUGAAAUACUCAAACCAGUCCAUCUGGCACUAACACCCAUGCUACAGUGAAAGUCACACUUUGAGAUCACAAUUUUUCCCAUUCUGAUGUUUGAAGUGAACAUUAACUGAAGCUCUUGAUUUGUAUCUGCAUGAGUUUAUGCGUUGUGCUGCUGUCAAGGGAUCGGCUGAUUAGAGAACUGCAUCAAACAGGAGGUGGAUGUAUGGGCAUUCCUAAUAAAGUGGCCAAAAUGUUUCUGUUAUCCUCCUGUUUGUUCUGGAUUCGAGGAUGUGCUGUUGUAGGAAAAUAAUCAGUGCUAGGCUGGAGCGAUGAUGUAUAGUUUCUGUUAUCGUAUAUAAAUGAAUGGAAGCUUGUGGGUACCAGGAAAUCUUCAGUGCUCCAGAAAGAUAAGCAGCAGGUUCUCUCUGCUCACGACCCCCAGGAGUUCUCCCAGCUCAUGUCUCCAGUCUGAAUCAGCCAGAAUACUCAAGAGAUACAAUGCCAUCUGCAUGUCACUCUAUUAGCCACAAGAGAGCACAUUGUCAUUUUACUGCAGCUUUAUAAAAGUAGUGUAGUGUAUAUGUGAUUUGUUGUACAAAUAUAAAAUUUAAGCUUUUUACAGUAGACUGUAUAAGGCUGUAAAUCUGUUCCGCAGUGUUAAUACGCACUAACAGGAAAGAUCUCCCAUGCUGAAGAGUUCACUUCCAGCUCGGAGCUUUAUUCUUAUUUAUAAUCAGGACUGAAGCUGAACUUAACAGUGCUUUAGAUCUCAUGGGCAUGCUAGAUCGAAUAUUAAUGCACAUAAACAUAUAAAUGCGAUCUUUCACUAUACUUUGUAUUUUAUAUAUUACAACCCCGAUUCCAAAAAAAGUUGGGACA
Long non-coding RNA from Neoarius graeffei (lesser salmon catfish), 3816 nucleotides. RefSeq lists it as uncharacterized. The transcript has 13 exons. NCBI's taxonomy places the organism in Eukaryota, Metazoa, Chordata, Actinopteri, Siluriformes, Ariidae. The record is from RefSeq and is a predicted model, not a curated record.